Molecule: long non-coding RNA, 242 nt
Filed under: Elaeis guineensis (African oil palm)
Lineage: Eukaryota; Viridiplantae; Streptophyta; Magnoliopsida; Arecales; Arecaceae
Description: long non-coding RNA (EGUI_LNC006827)
Source: RNAcentral
GGUCCUCGGCUCCUGGUGGAAUGACACCGCUGAGGUCCAGCUCUGGGUACAAGGCCUGGACUGCAUCCCGACCGUCUUCGUACCCCACCCGGUACGAUGCGAAGCCGGUCUCCAGCAGUUCCUUCCGAUACCUGUCCGAACCACGAAAGUCGUCCGCCGCCCGACUCAGUGACUCCUUCGCCGACCUCGCCUCCACUUCCACCCGAUCGAGGGAGCCCUUCGCAGACUCCACCUCUGCCUUC